RNAcentral lists this ribosomal RNA (255 nucleotides) under uncultured bacterium. Its description in RNAcentral is "partial 16S ribosomal RNA". It matches the Rfam family "Bacterial small subunit ribosomal RNA", at positions 15 to 266 of the family's 1533-position model. The record is from RNAcentral.
GAUCCUGGCUCAGGAUGAACGCUAGCGACAGGCUUAACACAUGCAAGUCGAGGGGCAUCAGGGUGUAGCAAUACACCGCUGGCGACCGGCGCACGGGUGAGUAACACGUAUCCAACCUGCCCUUUACUCGGGGAUAGCCUUUCGAAAGAAAGAUUAAUACCCGAUGGUGUAACAUGACCUCCUGGUUUUGUUAUUAAAGAAUUUCGGUAGAGGAUGGGGAUGCGUUCCAUUAGGCAGUUGGCGGGGUAACGGCCC